CAUUNACUUNCAANNGNUUUNNCCUANAAGUCNNACGUAACACGGGCUUCGGCCUGGUGGCGAGUGGCGAACGGGUGAGUAAUGUAUCGGAACGUGCCCAGUAGCGGGGGAUAACUACGCGAAAGCGUGGCUAAUACCGCAUACGCCCUACGGGGGAAAGCGGGGGACCUUCGGGCCUCGCACUAUUGGAGCGGCCGAUAUCGGAUUAGCUAGUUGGUGGGGUAACGGCCUACCAAGGCGACGAUCCGUAGCUGGUUUGAGAGGACGACCAGCCACACUGGGACUGAGACACGGCCCAGACUCCUACGGGAGGCAGCAGUGGGGAAUUUUGGACAAUGGGGGCAACCCUGAUCCAGCCAUCCCGCGUGUGCGAUGAAGGCCUUCGGGUUGUAAAGCACUUUUGGCAGGAAAGAAACGGCACGGGCUAAUAUCCUGUGCAACUGACGGUACCUGCAGAAUAAGCACCGGCUAACUACGUGCCAGCAGCCGCGGUAAUACGUAGGGUGCAAGCGUUUAAUCGGAAUUUACUGGGCGUAAAGCGUGCGCAGGCGGUUCGGAAAGAAAGAUGUGAAAAUCCCAGGGCUUUAACCUUGGAACUGCAUUUUUUACUACCGGGCUAAGAGUGUGU
This 628-nucleotide ribosomal RNA is filed under the name Bordetella sp. HPC770. RNAcentral's name for it is "bacterial SSU rRNA". It matches the Rfam family "Bacterial small subunit ribosomal RNA", at positions 26 to 652 of the family's 1533-position model. The record is from RNAcentral. Lineage: Bacteria; Pseudomonadati; Pseudomonadota; Betaproteobacteria; Burkholderiales; Alcaligenaceae.